GACGAACGCUGGCGGCGUGCCUAACACAUGCAAGUCGAACGGUGAAGCCCUCCGGGGUGGGUCAGUGGCGAACGGGAGGGUAAAAGGUGUGCAACCUGGCCAUGCCUCUGGGACAACUACGGGAAAUGGUGGCUAAUGCCAGAGACAUCCCGCCUCGGAAGUGAGUGUGGGUGGAAAGUUUCUUGGCGGGCGAUGGGCUCUCGGGUUAUCGCCUUGUGGGGGUGGGGAAGGCGCACAAAGUCGACGACUGCUAGCUGGCCUGAGAGGGCGACCGGCCCCUCUAUUCCUGAGCCACGGCCCAGUCUCCUACAGGAGCCAGUAGUUGUGAACCUUGCACAUUGGGCGCACGCCUGAUGCAGCGACCCCUCGUUAGGGAUGACGGCCUUCGGGUUGUAAACCUCUUUCAGCUCCGACGAAGCGACAGUGACGGUAGAAGCAGACUAAGCACCGGCUAACUACGUG
This 462-nucleotide ribosomal RNA is filed under the name uncultured bacterium. RNAcentral's name for it is "partial 16S ribosomal RNA". It matches the Rfam family "Bacterial small subunit ribosomal RNA", at positions 28 to 507 of the family's 1533-position model. The record is from RNAcentral.